This 238-nucleotide long non-coding RNA is filed under the name Solanum tuberosum (potato). RNAcentral's name for it is "long non-coding RNA (STUB_LNC011519)". Lineage: Eukaryota; Viridiplantae; Streptophyta; Magnoliopsida; Solanales; Solanaceae. The record is from RNAcentral.
GGACAUAGUAUGGGAUAAGGAGAUUGCUACUAGAAACCCAACCUCUACUAACGAGAGAGCUUCCAUCUCAAUAUCCUCUCGGUGCUAAGCGUAAAUCCCACUGAAUAGCCAUUUUCUUAACGUGUCUUUAAUAACCAUGGAAGGGCAUGCCAUCUUGCCAAUCCAAACUGAGUCAUAUGUCAUCCAUGGAAUGGUAAUAUCAAGUAACAAAUCCAAGCUAGUUUUCAUUAGAAUAGCG